UACGUAGGGUGCAAGCGUUGUCCGGAAUCAUUGGGCGUAAAGAGCGUGUAGGCGGCCCGGUAAGUCCGCUGUAAAAGUCAAAGGCUCAACCUUUGAAUGUCAGUGGAUACUGCCGGGCUAGAGUCCGGAAGAGGCGAGUGGAAUUCCUGGUGUAGCGGUGAAAUGCGCAGAUAUCAGGAGGAACACCGAUGGCGAAGGCAGCUCGCUGGGACGGUACUGACGCUGAGGCGCGAAAGCGUGGGGAGCAAACAGG
This 253-nucleotide ribosomal RNA is filed under the name uncultured bacterium. RNAcentral describes it as "partial 16S ribosomal RNA". It matches the Rfam family "Bacterial small subunit ribosomal RNA", at positions 524 to 776 of the family's 1533-position model. The record is from RNAcentral.